UAGAGUUUGAUCCAUGGCUCAGGACGAACGCUGGCGGCGUGCUUAACACAUGCAAGUCGAACGGAAAGGCCCUUCGGGGUACUCGAGUGGCGAACGGGUGAGUAACACGUGGGUGAUCUGCCUCGUACUCUGGGAUAAGCCUGGGAAACUGGGUCUAAUACCGGAUAGGACCUUCUCUCGCAUGGGGGUUGGUGGAAAGUUUUUCGGUACGAGAUGGGCCCGCGGCCUAUCAGCUUGUUGGUGGGGUAAUGGCCUACCAAGGCGACGACGGGUAGCCGGCCUGAGAGGGCGACCGGCCACACUGGGACUGAGACACGGCCCAGACUCCUACGGGAGGCAGCAGUGGGGAAUAUUGCACAAUGGGCGCAAGCCUGAUGCAGCGACGCCGCGUGAGGGAUGACGGCCUUCGGGUUGUAAACCUCUUUCACCAGGGGCGAAUU
RNAcentral lists this ribosomal RNA (440 nucleotides) under Williamsia deligens. Its description in RNAcentral is "bacterial SSU rRNA". It matches the Rfam family "Bacterial small subunit ribosomal RNA", at positions 1 to 451 of the family's 1533-position model. The record is from RNAcentral. Lineage: Bacteria; Bacillati; Actinomycetota; Actinomycetes; Mycobacteriales; Nocardiaceae.